Molecule: ribosomal RNA, 1430 nt
Filed under: metagenome
Description: bacterial SSU rRNA
Rfam family: Bacterial small subunit ribosomal RNA
Source: RNAcentral
AGAGUUUGAUCCUGGCUCAGGAUGAACGCUGGCGGCGUGCUUAACACAUGCAAGUCGAACGCACCUUCGGGUGAGUGGCGGACGGGUGAGUAACGCGUGAGAAUCUGCCCUCAGGAGGGGGAUAACGGCUGGAAACGGCCGCUAAUACCCCAUAUGCCGCGAGGUGAAACGAGUUUUCGCCUGAGGAUGAGCUCGCGUCUGAUUAGCUAGUUGGUGGGGUAAGAGCCUACCAAGGCAUCGAUCAGUAGCUGGUCUGAGAGGAUGAUCAGCCACACUGGGACUGAGACACGGCCCAGACUCCUACGGGAGGCAGCAGUGGGGAAUUUUCCGCAAUGGGCGAAAGCCUGACGGAGCAACGCCGCGUGAGGGAUGAAGGCCUCUGGGCUGUAAACCUCUUUUCUCAAGGAAGAAGAUCUGACGGUACUUGAGGAAUAAGCCACGGCUAAUUCCGUGCCAGCAGCCGCGGUAAUACGGGAGUGGCAAGCGUUAUCCGGAAUUAUUGGGCGUAAAGCGUCCGCAGGCGGUCUUGAAAGUCUGUUGUUAAAGCGUGGAGCUUAACUCCAUUUCAGCAAUGGAAACUAGAAGACUAGAGUGUGGUAGGGGCAGAGGGAAUUCCCGGUGUAGCGGUGAAAUGCGUAGAUAUCGGGAAGAACACCAGUGGCGAAGGCGCUCUGCUGGGCCAUAACUGACGCUCAUGGACGAAAGCCAGGGGAGCGAAAGGGAAUAGAUACCCCUGUAGUCCUGGCCGUAAACGAUGAACACUAGGUGUCGGGGGAAUCGACCCCCUCGGUGUCGUAGCCAACGCGUUAAGUGUUCCGCCUGGGGAGUACGCACGCAAGUGUGAAACUCAAAGGAAUUGACGGGGGCCCGCACAAGCGGUGGAGUAUGUGGUUUAAUUCGAUGCAACGCGAAGAACCUUACCAGGGUUUGACAUCCUGCGAAUCCCUUGGAAACGAGGGAGUGCCUUCGGGAGCGCAGAGACAGGUGGUGCAUGGCUGUCGUCAGCUCGUGUCGUGAGAUGUUGGGUUAAGUCCCGCAACGAGCGCAACCCACGUCUUUAGUUGCCAGCAUUCAGUUGGGCACUCUAGAGAGACCGCCGGUGAUAAACCGGAGGAAGGUGUGGAUGACGUCAAGUCAUCAUGCCCCUUACAUCCUGGGCUACACACGUACUACAAUGCUACGGACAAAGGGCAGCAAACUCGCGAGAGCUAGCAAAUCCCAUAAACCGUGGCUCAGUUCAGAUCGUAGGCUGCAACUCGCCUACGUGAAGGAGGAAUCGCUAGUAAUCGCAGGUCAGCAUACUGCGGUGAAUACGUUCCCGGGCCUUGUACACACCGCCCGUCACACCAUGGAAGUUGGCCACGCCCGAAGUCGUUACUCCAACCCUUGUGGAGGAGGACGCCGAAGGUGGGGCUGAUGACUGGGGUGAA